AGUGGCGGACGGGUGAGUAACGCGUGAGAAUCUGCCUUGGGGUCGGGGACAACCACUGGAAACGGUGGCUAAUACCGGAUAAGCCGAUUGGUGAAAGAUUUAUUGCCCGAAGAGGAGCUCGCGUCUGAUUAGCUAGUUGGUGAGGUAAGAGCUCACCAAGGCAGCGAUCAGUAGCUGGUCUGAGAGGACGAUCAGCCACACUGGGACUGAGACACGGCCCAGACUCUUACGGGAGGCAGCAGUGGGGAAUUUUCCGCAAUGGGCGAAAGCCUGACGGAGCAAGACCGCGUGAGGGAGGAAGGCUCUUGGGUUGUAAACCUCUUUUCUCAGGGAAGAAGCUCUGACGGUACCUGAGGAAUCAGCCUCGGCUAACUCCGUGCCAGCAGCCGCGGUAAUACGGAGGAGGCAAGCGUUAUCCGGAAUUAUUGGGCGUAAAGCGUCCGCAGGUGGCGAUUCAAGUCUGCUGUCAAAGCACGGGGCUUAACUCCGUAAAGGCAGUGGAAACUGAAUAGCUAGAGUGCCGUAGGGGUAGAGGGAAUUCCCGGUGUAGCGGUGAAAUGCGUAGAGAUCGGGAAGAACAUCGGUGGCGAAAGCGCUCUACUGGACGGCAACUGACACUCAGGGACGAAAGCUAGGGGAGCGAAUGGGAUUAGAUACCCC
This 660-nucleotide ribosomal RNA is filed under the name uncultured bacterium. RNAcentral describes it as "bacterial SSU rRNA". It matches the Rfam family "Bacterial small subunit ribosomal RNA", at positions 94 to 788 of the family's 1533-position model. The record is from RNAcentral.